AGGGCGUACGGUGGAUGCCUAGGCAUACAGAGGCGAUGAAGGACGUGCCAAGCUGCGAAAAGCUGCGGGGAGCUGCAAAGAAGCGUUGAUCCGCGGAUGUCCGAAUGGGGCAACCCAUCCCGGUUUACCGGGAUAUCCGUCAGCUGACGGAGGCUUACGAGGGGAACUGAAACAUCUAAGUACCCUUAGGAAGAGAAAACAAUAGUGAUUUCCCAAGUAGUGGCGAGCGAACGGGAGGUAGCCCAAACCAGGGGAUGCUUGCAUCCUGUGGGGUUGUAGGACUUACCAUAAGACCAAUCAAGGUGAAUUGAAGCUGUCUGGAAAGCAGCGCCACAGAAGGUGAAAGCCCUGUAAGUGAAGCUGGCGUUGGUUGGUAAGGAUCCUGAGUAGUGCGGGACCGGCGAAAUCCUGCAUGAAUCUGGCGGCACCAUCCGCCAAGGCUAAAUACGUCUGUAUGACCGAUAGUGGACUAGUACCGUGAGGGAAAGGUGAAAAGAACGCCGAGAAGGCGAGUGAAAUAGUACCUGAAACCGUGCGCUUACAAGCGGUCGGAGUCUCGAUGCAUGACUGAGUCUAUAAGACGAGCUUUACGCGAGCCGUCCCGAAAGCCUUCGGGAGCGAGCGAAAAGCCCCAGCCAUGGCAGUGAAAUAGCUGUUGGUGGCGGGAUGUUUUGUGGACUGAGUCAUGUGUCGGGAUGACGGCGUGCCUUUUGUAUAAUGAGCCUACGAGUUGCGCCUGUCGUGCGAGGUUAAUCCGUUCAGCGGAGAAGCCGAAGCGAAAGCGAGUCUGAUAAGGGCGAGCAGUACGGCGGGGCAGACGCGAAACCGAGUGAUCUAUCCAUGGUCAGGGUGAAGCUGGGGUAACACCUGGUGGAGGCCCGAACCGCCUGGCGUUGAAAAGCCAUCGGAUGAAUUGUGGAUAGGGGUGAAAGGCCAAUCAAACUCGGAAAUAGCUCGUACUCCCCGAAAUAUAUUUAGGUAUAGCGUCUGCCGUGUAGCUACAUGGAGGUAGAGCACUGAUUAGGCUAGGGCCCUUCACCGGGUACCAAACCUAGACAAACUCCGAAUGCCGUGUAGUGUUGGCAGGCAGUCAGUGGCAGGGUGAUAACGUCCUGUCGCGAGAGGGAAACAACCCAGACCAUCAGUUAAGGUCCCAAAAUACCAGCUAAGUUGAAUAAAGAAAGUUGGAUUGCCCAGACAACCAGGAGGUUGGCUUAGAAGCAGCCAUUCCUUAAAAGAGUGCGUAAUAGCUCACUGGUCGAGCGAUCCGGCGUCGAUAAUUUGCGGGCAUAAGCUGGUUACCGAAACUAUGGAUUCUACCAUGUAGAGUGGUAGGGGAGCAUUCCAGCGGCGCAGAAGUCGCCCCGUGAGGGGUGGUGGAGCUUCUGGAAGCGAAACUGUAGGCAUGAGUAACGAUAAGACGGGUGAGAAACCCGUCCACCGAAAACCCAAGGGUUCCUGAUCAACGCUAAUCGGAUCAGGGUUAGUCGAGACCUAAGGUGUAGCCGAAAGGCGAAGCCGAUGGAAAACCGGUUCAAUAUUCCGGUACCGACAUCAAUGCAAAGGCAAAGGCGUGACGCAGAAGUGACACUUCCGCCCCGUGACGAACGUCGGGGUUGAAGGGUGUAGGCCGGGCAGCAGGCAAAUCCGCUGCCCAUACGGCUGAAACCCGACAGUACCGGGAGGCUUCGGCCAAACGGAUAGUGAAGGUAAUCUGGCUGCCAAGAAAAGCGUCGUUGUUUGUUGAUGUUGCUCGUACCUUAAACCGACACAGGUGGGUGAGGAGAGAAUCCUCAGGUGCUCGAGAGAAUCGUGGCUAAGGAACUAGGCAAAUUCGAUCCGUAACUUCGGGAGAAGGAUCCCCUGCCCGUAAAAAGGUGGGGCGCAGUGAAAAGGUUCAAGCGACUGUUUACCAAAAACACAUGUCUCUGCUAAGCCGCAAGGCGACGUAUAGGGACUGACACCUGCCCGGUGCCGGAAGGUUAAAGAAGGGAGUUAGCUUCGGCGAAGCUCUUGACUGAAGCCCCGGUAAACGGCGGCCGUAACUAUAACGGUCCUAAGGUAGCGAAAUUCCUUGUCGGGUAAGUUCCGACCUGCACGAAUGGUGUAACGACUUGAACACUGUCUCGGCCACGAGCUCGGUGAAAUUGUGGUAUCGGUGAUGACGCCGAUUACCCGCAGCGGGACGGAAAGACCCCGUGAACCUUUACUACAACUUUACAUUGGCUUCGGCAACUGCAUGUGCAGGAUAGGCGGGAGACGGUGAAGCGGGCGCGCCAGCGUCUGUGGAGUCGCCCUUGAAAUACCGCCCUUGAAGUUGCUGGAUUCUAAUCCGCCGGUUGGCGGAGACAUUGUAUGGUGGGUAGUUUGACUGGGGCGGUCGCCUCCUAAACAGUAACGGAGGCUCCCAAAGGUACCCUCAGCAUGGUUGGCAAUCAUGCGCAGAGUGUAAAAGCAUAAGGGUGCUUGACUGUAAGGCAUACAGGCCGAGCAGGAACGAAAGUUGGGUUUAGUGAUCCGGUGGCACCGCAUGGAAGGGCCAUCGCUCAAAGGAUAAAAGGUACUCCGGGGAUAACAGGCUUAUCUCCCCCAAGAGUUCAUAUCGACGGGGAGGUUUGGCACCUCGAUGUCGGCUCAUCACAUCCUGGGGCUGGAGAAGGUCCCAAGGGUACGGCUGUUCGCCGUUUAAAGUGGUACGCGAGCUGGGUUCAGAACGUCGUGAGACAGUUCGGUCCCUAUCUGCUGUGGGCGUAGGAAUUUUGAGGAGAGCUGCUCCUAGUACGAGAGGACCGGAGUGGACGCACCGCUAGUGUACCUGUUGUGACGUCAGUUGCAUCGCAGGGUAGCUAUGUGCGCAUGUGAUAAGCCGCUGAAUGCAUCUAAGCGCGAAGCACACUCCAAGAUAAGAAUUCCCCAAAGAGUCCUGGAAGACGACCAGGUUGAUAGGCGGCAGGUGUACGCAUAGCAAUAUGUUUAGCCGAGCCGUACUAAGUACUCUUCAGUCUUACCC
RNAcentral lists this ribosomal RNA (3010 nucleotides) under Rhodohalobacter halophilus. Its description in RNAcentral is "bacterial LSU rRNA". It matches the Rfam family "Bacterial large subunit ribosomal RNA". Lineage: Bacteria; Pseudomonadati; Balneolota; Balneolia; Balneolales; Balneolaceae. The record is from RNAcentral.